AGGCCAAGGGAAUCGUUCGAGACAACUAAAGUCUACGGAAGUUAAACGCUAUCCGUCAGAAUUAAACAUUACUUUUUUUCUGAAUUAUUAAUUGAUCCUUGUAAGUAAGCACGAACCAUGGAUAUCGCUGCAUCCACAGAAAGCCAACACACCAAAGAACUUCAAGUCUUGGAUUAUGAGCUUCAACAUUUGCAAGAUAACAGAAAGCUGUACCUAAAUCAGCCAAACAGUAAUCUGUAUUUCCUCUGCAGUAAAGCUGAAGCUCACAGCCACUUGGAAAAGCAAAAGGAAAAGCUUUCAGAGAUGAAAAAGAAAACAUAGGAUAUUUUUUUCUUCUUUUGAAUCAAACCUUUAGUAGAUAAUUCAUUCAUUGGAAAAUCUGUAUGUCCAUGAUGUUCAAGAAUCAUUUUUAUUUAUAAGCUUAUUCCUUUGUUUUCUCUCUCUUUUUUUUCUCUUUUUCUUUGGUCAGUUUGAGUGUGAGAACAAUUUUGUAACUAGUGUAUAAGUAAAUUAGUGUGUUGACAUCAAAUUUCAGACUAAUUUUAAAAUUCUGUAAUUAUUUCAUACAUAUUUGUACCAACUGUUUUAAAACUUGGUGUAUGCUGAGAAUAAACAUUGUGAGUUAUAA
Penaeus indicus is the source of this 628-nucleotide long non-coding RNA. RefSeq lists it as uncharacterized. Lineage: Eukaryota; Metazoa; Arthropoda; Malacostraca; Decapoda; Penaeidae. The record is from RefSeq and is a predicted model, not a curated record. The transcript has 3 exons.